Molecule: ribosomal RNA, 496 nt
Filed under: uncultured bacterium
Lineage: Bacteria
Description: partial 16S ribosomal RNA
Rfam family: Bacterial small subunit ribosomal RNA
Source: RNAcentral
AUGAACGCUGGCGGCGUGCCUAAUACAUGCAAGUCGAGCGAACGGACGAGAAGCUUGCUUCUCUGAUGUUAGCGGCGGACGGGUGAGUAACACGUGGAUAACCUACCUAUAAGACUGGGAUAACUUCGGGAAACCGGAGCUAAUACCGGAUAAUAUUUUGAACCGCAUGGUUCAAAAGUGAAAGACGGUCUUGCUGUCACUUAUAGAUGGAUCCGCGCUGCAUUAGCUAGUUGGUAAGGUAACGGCUUACCAAGGCAACGAUGCAUAGCCGACCUGAGAGGGUGAUCGGCCACACUGGAACUGAGACACGGUCCAGACUCCUACGGGAGGCAGCAGUAGGGAAUCUUCCGCAAUGGGCGAAAGCCUGACGGAGCAACGCCGCGUGAGUGAUGAAGGUCUUCGGAUCGUAAAACUCUGUUAUUAGGGAAGAACAUAUGUGCAAGUAACUGUGCACAUCUUGACGGUACCUAAUCAGAAAGCCACGGCUAACUACGUG